UAGCUUUCUUAAAUUUGCGUUCAUAGCAACGUCACUUUUUGAUCCUUCGAUGUCAGCGCUUUCUGUCAUUAUGAAGUAAAAUUCACCAAGCUUUGGAUUGUUCACCCACUAGGAGGAAUGUGAGCUAGGUUUAGACUGUCAUGAGACAGGUU
This 152-nucleotide non-coding RNA is filed under the name Scleropages formosus (Asian bonytongue). RNAcentral describes it as "Eukaryotic large subunit ribosomal RNA". It matches the Rfam family "Eukaryotic large subunit ribosomal RNA", at positions 2827 to 2984 of the family's 3401-position model. Lineage: Eukaryota; Metazoa; Chordata; Actinopteri; Osteoglossiformes; Osteoglossidae. The record is from Rfam by way of RNAcentral.